CUUUGAUGUGCAGGAUAAAAUCAAAAGCUUGACUCUAGUACAUUAUUUCCCAUGAAUGCACACAUCAGUCAUUUCAACAUGUCACACAGGAAACGUAUACAUGCCACUUUUAGUGAUGCUUAAACUAAUAAUAUAUCUUCAUUAGAUAAAGCUGCUUGGUAAGUGGAAAUACGUGAUGGGGAAAAAAUUUCCUUAAGAUAUAAAUACAGUGUGACAGCUUCUGGGUGGGGGUUUUGCAAGUUGAGGAAUAAUUUCUAGUAAGAAGUUCCUGCAUCAAGGGGAAGAAAUUCAUUGAAAAGCUGAUCAAACAGAUUACACCUCAUCCUCUCCUCCACCACCCCCACUGACGUGUCUGUGGUCGUGGUGUCAGAACGAGAAUGCCAAUAUAAGGUAGGGGAGUCAACUUUACUGCCGACAGACAAAGCUGUGGCUCUUUCAAAGACAAGAGAGACAUGUGGACCUUCCAGAUGAAGCCUUCCACACUCCUGGUGAUGACGACGACAGUCGUGUUGGUGUACUCGGCAACCGUCCGUACUUCUAUCCAACCUCCUGACGAAUGCUCAGUCCUAUUGCAUAAAAUGGAAGACGAGGUUGGGAAUUUUCAAAAUGCAACGGUAGGAAGCUGCAAACUUUAUUUCCUUCUCUGGUGAUUUUAUGGUUUUAACGUACUGAUGUACUUGUCAUUUCAGUGGAACAAUAUAAAUGUACAAAAGCCAACAAAUAACUGCCCGGUAUGUUGAAAACCAAUUCUUUUUUCCUGUUAUUGUCCAUGCAGCCCAUUCAAACUUGAUGCAAUGUGUAGGUGUGCUUACCUUUUAAGCCUUUCCACACCUAAAAUCAUUAUCAACAAAAAUGGAAAAGCAAAUAUUUGACAAGAAAUAAGCUUCUUCCACGAUAAAAUAAGAAUCAGUCUUCAGUCUGAAUGGGUUUGGAGAUGUAGACAAAUCAACUCUAAAAUCCUGUGUGCUGAAUAUGAAUAACCACCAACUUCUCCUUGUAGAAAAACUUCUUCUGCCAGGCUGAGAAGGUUCUGGAAAGUAUUACAAACAACACAGUGAAGGCCUCCUUUACAAACCUAGCUGGCAUWUUGAAUAAAUACAAUAAGAAAUGUCAUACCAGCUGCAACCUGGUCAAAAAGGACACGUAUCACCUACAAAAGUUCCUGAAGAAAAUGAAGACAUGUCUGGACUACGCCUUACGUAGCAAGCAUUAAACAAUGACAUUGAGGGUUAUUUAACACGUUAGUGAAAAGUUAUUUAUUAAACUAUUUAUUUUUUCUACUUUUUUAAAUCUAUUGUCUGUUCAUGGUUUUAGCAGUUUUACAUCAAUAAAUAAAAAAAUGUGACAGUGAUCUGUUGUACGAGUGGUUCGUUAAACCAAACCUGGGYCUAUUAUUUUUUUUAAUGUGCAUGUUGCUACACUCUGCUGGUUCAUAAUAACCAGAAACAGCCAAGAACUACCUGUGAUUUAAUCAUGACUCAAAAAAAGGAAGAGCAUCAAGAAAGUGAGAUAUGACUGAUAUAAUAAUUUAAUAAAUAAAAUCCAGAGGUUUGUCGGUGUAAACAUUUGACAUACAGUAUGAUAGAAAAUAAAAGUUAGGUUUCAUUCACUACAGAACAUCAUGAAAGCAAAUAACCCUACACUGGUGCAUUUUAUAUAUACAUAUACUAAGGCAUACAUUAUCUAUGGUGCAUCUCACAAGCGUUCAGACGUGGAAAUAAAAAUGUGACCUGUUUAGUGUAAGAAAUGGCACAGACUAAGAGCUGAAUGGCAUGCAUGCUUCAAUCUUCUGACCUAAAAGAAAACACUUUAAAUAUCAUUUAUAAUGAUAGUUUACAAACUUUUAUCUUCUUGGUGUCAACCGAACUCAACAAUGGGGCCUUGGCUCAUUUUAGGAGUAGAAUAAAUUGGUGUUAACUGGAGUCCAAUGACGACUGUUGUAGUGGUUUGUUUAACUUUAAUCUACCGAUCACAAUGCAGGAAAU
Austrofundulus limnaeus is the source of this 1985-nucleotide long non-coding RNA. RefSeq lists it as uncharacterized. The transcript has 2 exons. Lineage: Eukaryota; Metazoa; Chordata; Actinopteri; Cyprinodontiformes; Rivulidae. The record is from RefSeq and is a predicted model, not a curated record.